RNAcentral lists this ribosomal RNA (305 nucleotides) under uncultured bacterium. RNAcentral's name for it is "bacterial SSU rRNA". It matches the Rfam family "Bacterial small subunit ribosomal RNA", at positions 338 to 658 of the family's 1533-position model. The record is from RNAcentral.
CCUACGGGACGCAGCAGUAGGGAAUCUUCCACAAUGGGCGAAAGCCUGAUGGAGCAACGCCGCGUGGGCGAAGAAGUAUUUCGGUAUGUAAAGCCCUAUCAGCAGGGAAGAAGAAAUGACGGUACCUGAGUAAGAAGCACCGGCUAGAUACGUGCCAGCAGCCGCGGUAAUACGUAUGGUGCAAGCGUUAUCCGGAUUUACUGGGUGUAAAGGGAGCGCAGGCGGCACGGCAAGCCUGAUGUGAAAGCCCGCGGCCCAACCGCGGGACUGCAUUGGGAACUACCGGGCUGGAGUGCCGGAGCGGG